This 258-nucleotide ribosomal RNA is filed under the name Cornitermes sp. A TB-2017. RNAcentral's name for it is "partial 16S ribosomal RNA". It matches the Rfam family "Bacterial large subunit ribosomal RNA", at positions 2426 to 2699 of the family's 2925-position model. Lineage: Eukaryota; Metazoa; Arthropoda; Insecta; Blattodea; Termitidae. The record is from RNAcentral.
UUUGUUUGAUCCAUUUAUUUUGAUUAUAAGAUUAAAUUACCUUAGGGAUAACAGCGUUAUCUUCCCUGAGAGUUCUUAUUGGCGGGGAGGUUUGCGACCUCGAUGUUGGAUUAAGGUGAAUUUUUGGUGCAGGAGCUGAAGUUGAUUGGGUCUGUUCGACCUUUAAAAUCUUACAUGAUCUGAGUUCAAACCGGCGUGAGCCAGGUUGGUUUCUAUCUAUAAAUAGUUUUUAUACCUCAGUACGAGAGGACCGGGUAU